Molecule: ribosomal RNA, 876 nt
Filed under: Sarcomyxa serotina
Lineage: Eukaryota; Fungi; Basidiomycota; Agaricomycetes; Agaricales; Mycenaceae
Description: LSU rRNA
Rfam family: Eukaryotic large subunit ribosomal RNA
Source: RNAcentral
GUGAAGCGGGAAAAGCUCAAAUUUAAAAUCUGGCGGUCCUUGCGGCCGUCCGAGUUGUAAUCUAGAGAAGUGUUAUCCGCGCUGGACCGUGUACAAGUCUCCUGGAAUGGAGCGUCAUAGAGGGUGAGAAUCCCGUCUUUGACACGGACUGCCAGGGCUUUGUGAUGCGCUCUCGAAGAGUCGAGUUGUUUGGGAAUGCAGCUCAAAAUGGGUGGUAAAUUCCAUCUAAAGCUAAAUAUUGGCGAGAGACCGAUAGCGAACAAGUACCGUGAGGGAAAGAUGAAAAGAACUUUGGAAAGAGAGUUAAACAGUACGUGAAAUUGUUGAAAGGGAAACGCUUGAAGUCAGUCGUGUCGUUCAGGGAUCAACCUUGCAUUUUUUGCUGGGCGUACUUCCUGUUCGACGGGUCAGCAUCAAUUUUGACCGUCGGAUAAAGGCUUGGGGAAUGUGGCAUCUUCGGAUGUGUUAUAGCCCUGGGUCGCAUACGACGGUUGGGAUUGAGGAACUCAGCACGCCGCAAGGCCGGGUGUUCGCACCACGUACGUGCUUAGGAUGCUGGCAUAAUGGCUUUAAUCGACCCGUCUUGAAACACGGACCAAGGAGUCUAACAUGCCCGCGAGUGUUUGGGUGGUAAACCCGAGCGCGUAAUGAAAGUGAAAGUUGAGAUCUCUGUCGUGGAGAGCAUCGACGCCCGGACCAGAACUUUUGUGACGGAUCUGCGGUAGAGCGUGUAUGUUGGGACCCGAAAGAUGGUGAACUAUGCCUGAAUAGGGUGAAGCCAGAGGAAACUCUGGUGGAGGCUCGUAGCGAUUCUGACGUGCAAAUCGAUCGUCGAAUUUGGGUAUAGGGCGAAAGACUAAUCGCGCAUCUAGUAGC